RNAcentral lists this ribosomal RNA (385 nucleotides) under uncultured bacterium. RNAcentral describes it as "bacterial SSU rRNA". It matches the Rfam family "Bacterial small subunit ribosomal RNA", at positions 30 to 417 of the family's 1533-position model. The record is from RNAcentral.
AUUGAACGCUGGCGGCAUGCCUUACACAUGCAAGUCGAACGGCAGCGGGCCUUCGGGUGCCGGCGAGUGGCGAACGGGUGAGUAAUGCAUCGGAACGUGCCAUUGAGUGGGGGAUAACGUAGCGAAAGUUGCGCUAAUACCGCAUAUUCUGUGAGCAGGAAAGCAGGGGACCGCAAGGCCUUGCGCUCUUUGAGCGGCCGAUGUCAGAUUAGCUAGUUGGUGAGGUAAAGGCUUACCAAGGCGACGAUCUGUAGCGGGUCUGAGAGGAUGAUCCGCCACACUGGAACUGAGACACGGUCCAGACUCCUACAGGAGGCAGCAGUGGGGAAUUUUGGACAAUGGGGGCAACCCUGAUCCAGCCAUGCCGCGUGAGUGAAGAAGGCCU